GCUUAUGACACCAGCACCCUGAAUGUGCCCAAUUUAAUCAGAUCUCAGAAGGUAAAAGCAGCAUCUAGGCCAGUUAGUACUUAGCAAGGGAGGCAUUCUGGGAAUAUCAGGUGUUGUAGGUU
Molecule: ribosomal RNA, 122 nt
Filed under: Petromyzon marinus (sea lamprey)
Lineage: Eukaryota; Metazoa; Chordata; Hyperoartia; Petromyzontiformes; Petromyzontidae
Source: RNAcentral